RNAcentral lists this long non-coding RNA (261 nucleotides) under Anser cygnoides (Swan goose). RNAcentral's name for it is "lncRNA (ENSACDG00005012521.1)". The record is from RNAcentral. Lineage: Eukaryota; Metazoa; Chordata; Aves; Anseriformes; Anatidae.
AUGUAUCUGCAAAGCAAUAUUAAGGACAGUGCAAGGCACAUGAAGGCAGGCUUUGUUUUUUCUCAUGGACUGAACAUCAUUGGAGACCAGAAGAAAACCAGGAUGUCCCCGGACCUAAGACACAGGCUGUAUUCAUGGAAGUAUACACAUAGGCAAACCAAAAAGGAAAGAAAAAUAAAUAAAUAACCAACUCAGCAACACAGAUUUUUGGACUUCCUGCAGAUAAUUGAAAAAAAAAUAAAUAAAUAAAUUGGGAUGCCA